GACGAACGCUGGCGGCGUGCUUAACACAUGCAAGUCGAACGGAAAGGCCCUGCUUUUGUGGGGUGCUCGAGUGGCGAACAGGUGAGUAACACGUGAGUAACCUGCCCUUGACUUUGGGAUAACUUCAGGAAACUGGGGCCAAUACCGGAUAGGAGCUCCUGCUGCAUGGUGGGGGUUGGAAAGUUUCGGCGGUUGGGGAUGGACUCGCGGCUUAUCAGCUUGUUGGUGGGGUAGUGGCUUACCAAGGCUUUGACGGGUAGCCGGCCUGAGAGGGUGACCGGCCACAUUGGGACUGAGAUACGGCCCAGACUCCUACGGGAGGCAGCAGUGGGGAAUAUUGCACAAUGGGCGGAAGCCUGAUGCAGCAACGCCGCGUGCGGGAUGACGGCCUUCGGGUUGUAAACCGCUUUCGCCUGUGACGAAGCGUGAGUGACGGUAAUGGGUAAAGAAGCACCGGCUAACUACGUGCCAGCAGCCGCGGUGAUACGUAGGGUGCGAGCGUUGUCCGGAUUUAUUGGGCGUAAAGGGCUCGUAGGUGGUUGAUCGCGUCGGAAGUGUAAUCUUGGGGCUUAACCCUGAGCGUGCUUUCGAUACGGGUUGACUUGAGGAAGGUAGGGGAGAAUGGAAUUCCUGGUGGAGCGGUGGGAUGCGCAGAUAUCAGGAGGAACACCAGUGGCGAAGGCGGUUCUCUGGGCCUUUCCUGACGCUGAGGAGCGAAAGCGUGGGGAGCGAACAGGCUUAGAUACCCUGGUAGUCCACGCUGUAAACGGUGGGUACUAGGUGUGGGGUCCAUUCCACGGGUUCCGUGCCGUAGCUAACGCUUUAAGUACCCCGCCUGGGGAGUACGGCCGCAAGGCUAAAACUCAAAGGAAUUGACGGGGCCCCGCACAAGCGGCGGAGCAUGCGGAUUAAUUCGAUGCAACGCGUAGAACCUUACCUGGGUUUGACAUGGAUCGGGAGUGCUCAGAGAUGGGUGUGCCUCUUUUGGGGUCGGUUCACAGGUGGUGCAUGGCUGCCGUCAGCUCGUGUCGUGAGAUGUUGGGUUAAGUCCCGCAACGAGCGCAACCCUUGUUCACUGUUGCCAGCACGUUAUGGUGGGGACUCAGUGGAGACCGCCGGGGUCAACUCGGAGGAAGGUGGGGAUGACGUCAAGUCAUCAUGCCCCUUAUGUCCGGGGCUUCACGCAUGCUACAAUGGCUGGUACAGAGAGUGGCGAGCCUGUGAGGGUGAGCGAAUCUCGGAAAGCCGGUCUCAGUUCGGAUUGGGGUCUGCAACUCGACCUCAUGAAGUCGGAGUCGCUAGUAAUCGCAGAUCAGCAACGCUGCGGUGAAUACGUUCCCGGG
Molecule: ribosomal RNA, 1343 nt
Filed under: uncultured bacterium
Lineage: Bacteria
Description: 16S ribosomal RNA
Rfam family: Bacterial small subunit ribosomal RNA
Source: RNAcentral